UUUGGAGUAGCUCAACGGUAGAGCAUCCCCUGUCCAGGGGAUGGUUGCGGGGCAAAUCCUGUCUCCCGCU
This 70-nucleotide transfer RNA is filed under the name Caldifarciminota bacterium. Its description in RNAcentral is "candidate division WOR-3 bacterium (hot springs metagenome) tRNA-OTHER". It matches the Rfam family "tRNA". From Rfam's summary of the family: Transfer RNA (tRNA) molecules are approximately 80 nucleotides in length. Their secondary structure includes four short double-helical elements and three loops (D, anti-codon, and T loops). Further hydrogen bonds mediate the characteristic L-shaped molecular structure. tRNAs have two regions of fundamental functional importance: the anti-codon, which is responsible for specific mRNA codon recognition, and the 3' end, to which the tRNAs corresponding amino acid is attached (by aminoacyl-tRNA synthetases). tRNAs cope with the degeneracy of the genetic code in two manners: having more than one tRNA (with a specific anti-codon) for a particular amino acid; and 'wobble' base-pairing, i.e. permitting non-standard base-pairing at the 3rd anti-codon position. The record is from RNAcentral. Lineage: Bacteria; Pseudomonadati; Caldifarciminota.